Small nucleolar RNA from Onychomys torridus (southern grasshopper mouse), 92 nucleotides. RefSeq annotates it as small nucleolar RNA ACA64. The transcript has a single exon. The record is from RefSeq and is a predicted model, not a curated record. NCBI's taxonomy places the organism in Eukaryota, Metazoa, Chordata, Mammalia, Rodentia, Cricetidae.
CACGGAUGAGCUUCAUCACCCACAGCUUCAGGGUCCUCAGUUCAACACCUGCCACCCGAUUCUGGGAGGGUGAAACCCAGGCCCCUAGACAC